CAUGUCUAAGUAUAAGCAAUCUAUACUGUGAAACUGCGAAUGGCUCAUUAAAUCAGUUAUCGUUUAUUUGAUAGUACCUUACUACUUGGAUAACCGUGGUAAUUCUAGAGCUAAUACAUGCUAAAAACCCCGACUUCGGGAGGGGUGUAUUUAUUAGAUAAAAAACCAAUGCCCUUCGGGGCUCUUUGGUGAUUCAUGAUAACUUAACGAAUCGCAUGGCCUUGCGCCGGCGAUGGUUCAUUCAAAUUUCUGCCCUAUUAACUUUCGAUGGUAGGAUAGAGGCCUACCAUGGUAUCAAUGGGUAACGGGGAAUUAGGGUUCUAUUCCGGAGAGGGAGCCUGAGAAACGGCUACCACAUCCAAGGAAGGCAGCAGGCGCGCAAAUUACCCAAUCCCGACACGGGGAGGUAGUGACAAUAAAUACUGAUACAGGGCUCUUUUGGGUCUUGUAAUUGGAAUGAGUACAAUUUAAAUACCUUAACGAGGAACAAUUGGAGGGCAAGUCUGGUGCCAGCAGCCGCGGUAAUUCCAGCUCCAAUAGCGUAUAUUAAAGUUGUUGCAGUUAAAAAGCUCGUAGUUGAACCUUGGGCCUGGCUGGCCGGUCCGCCUCACCGCGUGUACUGGUCCGGCCGGGCCUUUCCUUCUGGGGAUCCGCAUGGCCUUCACUGGCUGUGUCGGGGAACCAGGACUUUUACUUUGAAAAAAUUAGAGUGUUCAAAGCAGGCCUUUGCUCGAAUACAUUAGCAUGGAAUAAUAGAAUAGGACGUGCGGUCCUAUUUUGUUGGUUUCUAGGACCGCCGUAAUGAUUAAUAGGGAUAGUCGGGGGCAUCAGUAUUCAAUUGUCAGAGGUGAAAUUCUUGGAUUUAUUGAAGACUAACUACUGCGAAAGCAUUUGCCAAGGAUGUUUUCAUUAAUCAGUGAACGAAAGUUAGGGGAUCGAAGACGAUCAGAUACCGUCGUAGUCUUAACCGUAAACUAUGCCGACUAGGGAUCGGGCGAUGUUAUUCUUUUGACUCGCUCGGCACCUUACGAGAAAUCAAAGUCUUUGGGU
Molecule: ribosomal RNA, 1050 nt
Filed under: Botryosphaeria dothidea
Lineage: Eukaryota; Fungi; Ascomycota; Dothideomycetes; Botryosphaeriales; Botryosphaeriaceae
Description: SSU rRNA
Rfam family: Eukaryotic small subunit ribosomal RNA
Source: RNAcentral